UCAAAAGCGACCAGUCUAACGGAACAUGAGCAGAAUAACAGGGUCAGAGGGAGUAUAGUAGGGUUGGGGAAAAAUUAGUGUGAACAGAUUGGAGAAAGGACAGAAGGGUGUUAGUACAAUACUGCUUUAAUGCACGAGACAUAAGUGUGUUUUUACCCUACAUUUACUCAGAAUUAAGUUCUGAUCAGUUAUAUCCUGAUCUGAUCAAUUCAGUUAUGAUCAGUUCUCAUCAGAAUGUUCUGAUCUAAUCAAUUAGUUCCAACCAGAAUAGACUCUGUAAAAGAAGAAGCUGAAGUCAAUGAUUUGCUUAUUGAAGCCAAAAAUGGAGAUGACAAAAAUUGAAGCUGCUUGAAUUGAGAAUUCAGUUGCAGUGCAAAUGUGGUCUGAUCCUCAAGGCAUAUAAAACUCUCAUUAAACACACAUUUUUCGUUUCUGGAAUAUGGAACUAGCAACUCAGGCUGUGUUCGGCAUCAUGGCCGUUUUUCGUUUUUUAAUUUUUUAAUCAAAAAAACAAAAAUAAGGCUGUUCGGGUAUGUUGUUGAAUAAAACGACUUUCGAGGCUUUUUCACAAAAUCGAAGCGGAAAAUCAGAAACCACUAAAAGUGGUUUUGUAAGUUCCGUUUCAGUUUUCUCCUACAAAGAGUACAUUCCUUCUCUCCAAUCUCCAUCUUGGUUCCCGGCAUCGCCUAAUUAUUCUCAAGAUCCAAGGUUCAAGUUGGCUAGUAUAUAGCCUAACUAUUCUCAAGAUUCAAGGUUCAAGUUGGUAUGGAGCCAUGGAGUUCUUCUCGAUCAUCUUCUUCAACAUCCUCUUUUUUUUUUUUUUUUUUUUUUUUAUUUCCCCUUGAAAUCAUCUCCACUGUUUCAUCCUUUUGUUUAUUGGAACUGAAAAUUUUGUUGAUGAAUUGAGUUUGGUAGUUUGUUUGUUCGUCUAAAUUGUUUGUCCAUCUUUGUUCUUUAAUUUUUUUUUUCAAUUGUCGCUGUCGAUUAUUUGAGUUUGGAAUUGGUUUGUCAAUUUUGUAUUUUUUAUUUUGGUGUUGAUGUUUGAAGGAAUAGAUUUUAGUGAAUAGUGGUUGUUAGUCUUAUUACCACUUUCCAAACUGCAUACUGAUAAAAGUUAAUUCGGAGUCAUAGUAUUAGAUUAAUACUACUGAUUGAAUGUGUGAAGUAGUUCCAAUUUCUGGAUUGUUUGAGUAGAGGGAAGUCAAGCUCUAUAUUGUUAAUUUUUUUGUUGAAAUAGUAAGUGGUCAUAAUUAAGAAAAGCCAUAGUGAAUUAGUGACCUAUUAAUUUAGAACGGGAUGUCUUAUGAGAUUAAUCAAUUUAACUGCAAAUGCUUCGUAUUCGACAUAGCGUCCAUAUACAAUUGCUUUUGAUUUUUUAGGUAAAAGCUAGACCUCUUUGAUUUGUAAAGUGCUAAAAUUUUUAGAGGAUCAAAUAGGGAUGACCAUUUUAGGGGACUAUUCAAGAAAACUCAUAAGGUAUAUUCAUCCCUUUUGUUGUUAAUAUAAAAAACUAUCAGAAGCUUGAAUAUCAGCAUAUCCUUGAAUCUGUAUCCUAAAAUACUUAAAUAUAAUAAAUAAUUAUGAUACUAUAAUAAUAAUAACAAUAAUAAUAAUCUCUAUUAUAUAAGCCAACUCCUGAGGGCUUUUUUGUAAAUUAACUUUUCGUGUCCCCCAUUAAAAUUACAAAAACACCCUUCAAUGUUUAACAGUGUACACCAGACCCCACCUCUGAAUUAAACCCCAGGCUCCCUUCAACGCGCUCUCUCUCCUAACUCUAUCGCCCUUUCUUCGUUCAUCUCUCCCGUUCUCUCUCCUCUCACACUUCAAUUUUUUGAAUUGUCUGCUCCUCAGAUCUCUCCCAUUAACCUAUCCACAGCACAAUCAUCAGAGAGUUUACCGGCAUCUUAGGGAGCGCCUUACAGAUCUUUUCUAAACCUUUGUUCGCUGGAGCGGCGGAGAGGAGAGAGGCGAGGAUGACAACGAAGUCGGCGGCCACCGUAUUCUCCACAGCUUCCUUAGCGCAGCCACCGUAUUUUCUUUUCUAUUUCCAUCAGAAGUUCAGAUCUGAAGGCGAAUGCGUUUGUGGAAGGUGUGACACAAAAUCGGCGUCAAAUCGAUGAACUGGAGAGAUCUUCCUGCGUUGAUGGUGGUGAUUUGACGACUGAUGGAGUUCCUAUUGAUUUUUAUCUUAUUAGAUUUGUCAAAGGAUUAAGCUAUAUAUCCGACUAUGUCGCCUUUGAAGGAGAUUGUUGAUGGUAUUCAUAGUUUUGUGGCUAAGGUUGAAGAUGACCUCAAGGUAUCCACGAAAGCUUUUUCGCCCCUAGCCAUGGAAGAACUGCAUAACUAGGGUUCCAGUGAACCAACUCUGCAACUCCAACUUCCUCUCUCCUAAAACCUCACUCUCUCUCCUCAACAACGGCACGAACGAAGCACACUGCUAAGAAUUCCACCGGAUGAAAAGCCCUACCGUUUCCCUUUCUUUGAGAUUGUGAUCCCACCUACGGAACAGAACAAGAAAUUAAAAGGCAUGGGGAAGAAGAACGGGGAGUCAGGAUCUGCAGUUGGGAUGAGCAACUCUUUGAGUAAGGUAUUUCAGAGUUGUAGUGCAUGGCUGGAUAAGUUAAUGAAGCAUAAGCGUGGCUGGGUUUUUAAUACCCCUGUUGAUGUGAAGGCCCUUGGUUUACAUGAUUAUUUCACAGUAAUUAAGCAUCCAAUGGACUUGGGUACUAAUCUAAAUACCAACUGGUACAAAUAUCCCAAGGACUUGAGUUUGAUUGAUCGAAUUUAGGAAUUUAUAUUUUAGUACUAAGAUUUAGAUUCUUUGUCAUGUAAAGGCAUGAUUACUCGGUUUCACUAUUUAGAUGUAUAAUCGUAUAAUAUUAAUUUUUUAAAAUACGAACUUUGUGAACAUUUAUUUUUAUCUAAUAUUUAUAUUUA
Molecule: long non-coding RNA, 2937 nt
Organism: Spinacia oleracea (spinach)
Lineage: Eukaryota; Viridiplantae; Streptophyta; Magnoliopsida; Caryophyllales; Amaranthaceae
Exons: 5
Source: RefSeq, a predicted model, not a curated record